Molecule: unclassified non-coding RNA, 345 nt
Filed under: rhizosphere metagenome
Description: partial ribosomal RNA internal transcribed spacer region
Source: RNAcentral
GUAGGUGAACCUGCGGAAGGAUCAUUAACACGUAUCCAAACGUUAAAACCCCCCUGUUUUUGAGUUAGGGACUUCUCUGGGCACCGCGGUGAGCAGGUUUAGCUAUUUACGUCCCUGGCGGCUCUGAAGUGACUUCCACUGUCUGAAAGUGUCAGUGUACUUGCGUAAGGAGUUGGCGCAGUCAACGAAUCAAGGGGCCGACACGGCCCUGCGACCGGGACCCUUUGAGCGGGUAAAACGGCUCCACCAAGAUGAAAAUCUUGCAUGACAUGAGAGACGGCCGGCGCCGAAAGGUUGUAGGCACAAAAAAACGAACAACUGUUAACAAUGGAUAUCUUGGUUCUC